Molecule: small RNA, 77 nt
Filed under: Klebsiella pneumoniae
Lineage: Bacteria; Pseudomonadati; Pseudomonadota; Gammaproteobacteria; Enterobacterales; Enterobacteriaceae
Also listed under: 5 other names
Description: isrK Hfq binding RNA
Rfam family: isrK Hfq binding RNA
Source: RNAcentral
GCAUCGGCAAAAUCCGGUGCCGGGAUUGGCGUCCCGGAUAACUAAACGGCGCACAACACGCGCACUGCGUGUUUUUU